CAGCCGCCACGGGAAUACGUAGGGUGCGAGCGUUAAUCGGAAUUACUGGGCGUAAAGCGUGCGCAGGCGGUUCGUUAAGACAGAUGUGAAAUCCCCGGGCUUAACCUGGGAACUGCAUUUGUGACUGGCGAGCUAGAGUAUGGCAGAGGGGGGUAGAAUUCCACGUGUAGCAGUGAAAUGCGUAGAGAUGUGGAGGAAUACCGAUGGCGAAGGCAGCCCCCUGGGCCAAUACUGACGCUCAUGCACUAAAGCGUGGGGAGCAAACAGGAUUAGAUACCCCCGUAGUCCCUGUCUCUUAUAC
RNAcentral lists this ribosomal RNA (301 nucleotides) under uncultured bacterium. Its description in RNAcentral is "partial 16S ribosomal RNA". It matches the Rfam family "Bacterial small subunit ribosomal RNA", at positions 509 to 807 of the family's 1533-position model. The record is from RNAcentral.